Molecule: ribosomal RNA, 453 nt
Filed under: uncultured Cellulomonas sp.
Lineage: Bacteria; Bacillati; Actinomycetota; Actinomycetes; Micrococcales; Cellulomonadaceae
Description: bacterial SSU rRNA
Rfam family: Bacterial small subunit ribosomal RNA
Source: RNAcentral
GGCGCGGAGCAUGCGGAUUAAUUCGAUGCAACGCGAAGAACCUUACCAAGGCUUGACAUACACGGUAACGCCCAGAGAUGGGUGCCCCUUUGUGGUCGGUGUACAGGUGGUGCAUGGGUUGUCGUCAGCUCGUGUCGUGAGAUGUUGGGUUAAGUCCCGCAACGAGCGCAACCCUCGUCCUAUGUUGCCAGCGGGUCAUGCCGGGGACUCAUGGGAGACUGCCGGGGUCAACUCGGGAGGAAGGUGGGAUGACGUCAAAUCAUCAUGCCCCUUAUGUCUUGGGCUUCACGCAUGCUACAAUGGCCGGUACAAAGGGCUGCGAUACCGCGAGGUGGAGCGAAUCCCAGAAAGCCGGUCUCAGUUCGGAUUGGGGUCUGCAACUCGACCCCAUGAAGUCGGAGUCGCUAGUAAUCGCAGAUCAGCAACGCUGCGGUGAAUACGUUCCCGGGCCUU